AAACCGGCGGGAGUGGCGCACGGGCUGAGUAGCGCGUGGGAACCUGCCCUGUUGUGGGGGAUAACCGAUUUUUAAACCUCGGCUAAUACCGCAUGCGCCCCCGGGAGUGAUCCUGGGGGGAAAGAUUUAUCGCAGCAGGAGGGGCCCGCGUCGGAUUAGCUGGUUGGUGGGGUAACGGCCUACCAAGGCACCGAUCCGUAGCUGGNCUGAGAGGAUGAUCAGCCACACUGGGACUGAGACACGGCCCAGACUCCUACGGGAGGCAGCAGUGGGGAAUAUUGGACAAUGGGCGCAGCCUGAUCCA
Molecule: ribosomal RNA, 304 nt
Filed under: uncultured bacterium
Lineage: Bacteria
Description: bacterial SSU rRNA
Rfam family: Bacterial small subunit ribosomal RNA
Source: RNAcentral